CCAAGAGAGCCACCGCUAGGAGUGCCUGCACCGUUGGGUGCUAUUUCUGACUUGCUCCAGCUGCUGAACUGAACUGGUGACCUGCUGAUAUGAAUUAACUGCUGCUAUUUUGGAUAGUUUAACAAUUGUUAUGCAAGGAGUUAUCUCCAUUUAUUUUAUGUUACAAAUAAAUCAUCUCUAAAAUUAAUUACAGGCAGUGCACUUAUGACACCUAUGGGGAGUUCACUAGCGCUCAUCGCUAGAUUUCGCCAGGAGCCAUGGCGGGAGUCCAACUUGAAGCGCAGCACCCGCAGGUUGUGGGUACUAUUCUGAUUCUCGAGAGGAAGUUCACUUUGGAUUGAAAAAUAGUUCUAUCAGGACGCACAUGGAGCCCUCCAAUUGAAGAAGUUAUCUAGUCAGUUUGAAGCCUCCAUCUGUGAUGUGCGGCCCACGACUAGGAAGGCUUCCAUGCAGCCGCAGGGAGUCCUAACCAUUUGAAGUGUGAAGAAUAGCUGGACUCUCAUGCCCAGAUCAGUGUAGGUCUUCUUGGGGCUGACCGAGCACCUGGCUGCCGCAUUGGGGUUCAAAUAUAAUCAAACCAUCUUCACUUUUGUUGGGAAGUUCACUUCGGACAUAAUGGGAAGCUCAAUUUGCACACCGUGAAAGUUCAUUUCAUUUUAUUAUGAAACAAACUAAAUGGUAAUGGUGUAUCUUCACAAAAUACAUUUUCUGAAUGCUUUUGGAUACUCCAUUUUUUGAUAUUUGUAAGCCUAUAAGAUCUGAGAGAGGUGGAAAAGCAGUGGAGUUUUGAUAAAACACAGGAAUGAAACAUUGCAGUUGUAUUAUACUAUUAUGGUUAAUAGGCAAGUGAGGACACCAUGGACCUGCCGUGUGUGGAUGUAGCAGGGCAUGAGGUGGAGCAGGAGAGUCCCGUGCCGGUGUUGCACAAGGCUCGUUGGAACUCCGGAUUAGACAUAUGCAGUAGUUCACUUGCUCAUCGUGGGAAUGCCUCAUUCGGCAAAGACAGAAGUUCACUUACACGAUGAAGUAGGGGUGAUGCACCAGGUUCUGGAGUUAAGUUCUGCCAUUUUUCUGCAGUUUAGUUUAUUUGUUUCUCAGUUCAGUUUUUCCCUUUCCUGAAGUUCAGUUCAUCAUAAUGUGUCAAGUUCACUUGUCAUAAGCUAUGUGUUGUACUGUUGCCUGCAGGAUGACGUGCAAUUUCAAGGAAAGUAUGAUUUGUGGCAGGCUGUGAAUGGUAACCAGUAGGCGUAGUAAUAACAUGUAUAUCGCGUUUGACCUCUCUGAACCACCUUCAAGAUGUGCGCCUUACCAGCUUCAGGGGAUGACUGAGCGUGGCUCACUGAGUACUUCGCCAAGAGUUCUGCAUCCUGUUCUAGUUUGACCUCUCUUUAAUUUUUAUUUUUACAUUAUGGCGUGAUCUCCAGCCACGGCACAUUGAUGGAGGCAUGCGCCACAGCCUUGGACAUGCAAGUAUUUACAAAAUAAUGAUUAUGUUACUUGGCAACCUAAUGGUACUUCCAAAUAUGCAUCAAAACAAUGUCAGUGUGGGAGUUUUCUUUCAUUUUUUUGUUGUAAUAAUUUCACUUUGAUAUGACAGGCUGAUGUUUUUUCUGUCCUGGAGUUCACUUCCUACUUAUUUUUUAUCAACAA
Long non-coding RNA from Lolium perenne, 1650 nucleotides. RefSeq lists it as uncharacterized. The record is from RefSeq and is a predicted model, not a curated record. Lineage: Eukaryota; Viridiplantae; Streptophyta; Magnoliopsida; Poales; Poaceae.